GUGCUUACUUUGGCAGCACAUGUACUAAAAAUGGAAUGAUGCGAACAUUAGCAUGGCCCCUACGCAAAGAUGGCAUGCAAAUUUGUGAAGUAUUCCGUAUUUUU
This is a small nuclear RNA of Phyllostomus discolor (pale spear-nosed bat), 104 nucleotides long. The record is from RefSeq and is a predicted model, not a curated record. NCBI's taxonomy places the organism in Eukaryota, Metazoa, Chordata, Mammalia, Chiroptera, Phyllostomidae.